GACGAACGCUGGCGGCGUGCUUAACACAUGCAAGUCGAACGGAAAGGCCCUGCUUUUGUGGGGUGCUCGAGUGGCGAACGUGUGAGUAACACGUGAGUAACCUGCCCUUGACUUUGGGAUAACUUCAGGAAACUGGGGCUAAUACCGGAUAGGAGCUCCUGCUGCAUGGUGGGGGUUGGAAAGUUUCGGCGGUUGGGGAUGGACUCGCGGCUUAUCAGCUUGUUGGUGGGGUAGUGGCUUACCAAGGCUUUGACGGGUAGCCGCCCUGCGAGGGUGACCGGCCACAUUGGGACUGAGGUACGGCCCAGACUCCUACGGGAGGCAGCAGUGGGGCAUAUUGCACAAUGGGCGGAAGCCUGAUGCAGCAACGCCGCGUGCGGGAUGCCGGCCUUCGGGUUGUAAACCGCUUUCGCCCGUGACGAAGCGUGAGUGACGGUAAUGGGUAAAGAAGCACCGGCUAACUACGUG
RNAcentral lists this ribosomal RNA (468 nucleotides) under uncultured bacterium. RNAcentral describes it as "partial 16S ribosomal RNA". It matches the Rfam family "Bacterial small subunit ribosomal RNA", at positions 28 to 507 of the family's 1533-position model. The record is from RNAcentral.